AAGUCGUAGCAAGGUUUCCGUAGGUGAACCUGCGGAAGGAUCAUUAGUGAUUUGGCUCCGGCCUAAAUUCGAUCUCAACCAACCUCUGUGAACCGUGGCCCUCGGGCCGAUUUUUUAAACAUCAGUGUAUAGAAUGUAAACAUCAUAACAAAACAAAA
Molecule: unclassified non-coding RNA, 158 nt
Filed under: plant metagenome
Description: partial contains small subunit ribosomal RNA and internal transcribed spacer 1
Rfam family: Eukaryotic small subunit ribosomal RNA (bases 1-46)
Source: RNAcentral